GAUGAACGCUGACAGAAUGCUUAACACAUGCAAGUCAACUUGAAUUUGGGUUUUUAACUUAGGUUUGGGUGGCGGACGGGUGAGUAACGCGUAAAGAACUUGCCUCACAGCUAGGGACAACAUUUGGAAACGAAUGCUAAUACCUAAUAUUAUGAUAAUAGGGCAUCCUAUAAUUAUGAAAGCUAUAAGCGUUGUGAGAGAGCUUUGCGUCCCAUUAGCUAGUUGGAGAGGUAACGGCUCACCAAGGCGAUGAUGGGUAGCCGGCCUGAGAGGGUGAUCGGCCACAAGGGGACUGAGACACGGCCCUUACUCCUACGGGAGGCAGCAGUGGGGAAUAUUGGACAAUGGACCAAGAGUCUGAUCCAGCAAUUCUGUGUGCACGAUGAAGUUUUUCGGAAUGUAAAGUGCUUUCAGUUGGGAAGAAAGAAAUGACGGUACCAACAGAAGAAGUGACGGCUAAAUACGUG
This 467-nucleotide ribosomal RNA is filed under the name uncultured bacterium. RNAcentral describes it as "partial 16S ribosomal RNA". It matches the Rfam family "Bacterial small subunit ribosomal RNA", at positions 28 to 507 of the family's 1533-position model. The record is from RNAcentral.